Thalassophryne amazonica is the source of this 174-nucleotide long non-coding RNA. RefSeq lists it as uncharacterized. The record is from RefSeq and is a predicted model, not a curated record. The transcript is spliced from 3 exons. Lineage: Eukaryota; Metazoa; Chordata; Actinopteri; Batrachoidiformes; Batrachoididae.
UCUGCUGGCUGCUACCCACAGCAGUUACUGUACUAUGGUCUCUGGAGAAGCUGUUACAAUGGGGCUGAGAAUAUUCAAAAUUAUAUUAUAGUGUUGCUUUACAAGGAAAAAACAAAAACAAACAAAACCCCAGAGAACAUUCAGAGCAGUUUUACUAAACGACUUUUCAAAAAG